RNAcentral lists this long non-coding RNA (540 nucleotides) under Sinocyclocheilus grahami. RNAcentral's name for it is "lncRNA (ENSSGRG00000040505.1)". Lineage: Eukaryota; Metazoa; Chordata; Actinopteri; Cypriniformes; Cyprinidae. The record is from RNAcentral.
ACUUUUCUGCUUCAUUUGAAGAUUAAGACCAGAUAAAGCAACAUCUCCAUCACCUUCAAUCACAUCUCUACAAAGUGACCAGUCACUGGAUCGACCGAUACUGUUCAAAGAUGGAUUGGUGAUAGAAAGGUUGAGACAAGGUCAGUCAACAUCUCCAGCACCUUCAGUUACGUCUCUACAAAGUGACCAGUCACUGGAUCGACCAAUAUUGUUCAAAAAUGGAGCAGAGCGUAAAAAGGGGAAUGAAAGGUCGAGACCAGAUAAAGGAACGUCUCCAGCGCCCUCUUGUACAUCUCUACAAAGUGACCAGUCACUGGAUCGACCAAUAUUGUUCAAAGAUGGAGCAGAGUGUAAAAAGGGGAAUAAAAGGUCGAGACCAGAUAAAGGAACGUCUCCAGCGCCCUCUUGUACAUCUCUACAAAGUGACCAGUCACUGGAUCGACCGAUACUGUUCAAAAAUGGAACUCAGAGCAAUGAAAGGUAUAUAAGGAAUAAGAGUUUGGGUCCUUAUUAUGCAUGUACUGGUUUACCCAGCAGAUU